UACAUGUGGGGCAAGCGUUGUUCGGAAUUACUGGGCAUACAGGGUGCGUAGGCGGUUUGUUAAGUCACUGGUGAAAGUUUGCGGCCCAACCGUAAAAUUGCCUGUGAUACUGGCGAACUUGAGUGCGUGAGGGGUAGGGGGAACGAGCAGUGGAGCGGUGAAAUGCGUAGAUAUGGCUCGGAAGGACGGAGCCGAAGGGGCCCUACGGGUACGCAACUGACGCUGAGGCACGAAAGUAUGGGGAGCAAACAGG
RNAcentral lists this ribosomal RNA (253 nucleotides) under uncultured bacterium. RNAcentral describes it as "partial 16S ribosomal RNA". It matches the Rfam family "Bacterial small subunit ribosomal RNA", at positions 524 to 776 of the family's 1533-position model. The record is from RNAcentral.